Molecule: long non-coding RNA, 343 nt
Organism: Syzygium oleosum
Lineage: Eukaryota; Viridiplantae; Streptophyta; Magnoliopsida; Myrtales; Myrtaceae
Exons: 3
Source: RefSeq, a predicted model, not a curated record
UUAUCUCAGCUAUAAUAAGCGAUGAACACAGUAUCUUCAAUAACCAAGCAGGGUAUCGAACGAUAUUAUUAAGACCAUCAAAAAACGACUGGGGAAUAAACAUUCAAAUGCACAAGUCUAUGCAGUCAUGUUGUUGGAGAUGCUGAUGAACAAUAUUGGAGAACCUGUUCAUAACCAAGUCAUUGAAUUGGGGAUUCUCCCUAUUCUUGUGAAGAUAGUUAAGAAAAAGACUGACUUGCCAGUGCGAGAGAGGAUAUUUCUCCUUCUAGAUGCCACAUAGAUAUCCCUUAGUGGUGCUUCCGAGAAGUUCCCUUAAUAUUAUUUUGCAUUCUAUGACCUUGUG